RNAcentral lists this ribosomal RNA (507 nucleotides) under uncultured bacterium. Its description in RNAcentral is "bacterial SSU rRNA". It matches the Rfam family "Bacterial small subunit ribosomal RNA", at positions 28 to 525 of the family's 1533-position model. The record is from RNAcentral.
GACGAACGCUGGCGGCGUGGAUUAGGCAUGCAAGUCGAACGGUAUCAUCCUUUCGGGGGUGAGAGAGUGGCGAACUGGUGAGUAACACGUAGGUUAUCUACCCUCAAGACGGGGACAACCCAGGGAAACUUGGGCUAAUACCGGAUGUGAGCAACUUUUUAGUUGUUUGAAAGGUGGCGUAAGCUGUCGCUUGGGGAUGAGCCUGCGUCCUAUUAGUUAGUUGGUGAGGUAACGGCUCACCUAGGCAAUGAUAGGUAGGCGGCCUUAACGGGUGGUCGCCCACACUGGGAUUGAGAUACGGCCCAGACUCCUACGGGAGGCAGCAGUCGAGAAUAGUCUACAAUGGUCGGAAGACUGAUAGUGCGACGCCGCGUGAACGAUGAAUCCCUUCGGGGUGUAAAGUUCUUUUCUAUACGAGCAGUGCUAUAUAUAUGGAUAGUAUAUAUAGAGGGAUAGUAGUAUAGGAAUAAGCAACGGCUAACUCCGUGCCAGGCAGCCGCGGUAAAC